This 393-nucleotide ribosomal RNA is filed under the name uncultured bacterium. RNAcentral's name for it is "partial 16S ribosomal RNA". It matches the Rfam family "Bacterial small subunit ribosomal RNA", at positions 523 to 918 of the family's 1533-position model. The record is from RNAcentral.
AUACGGAGGAUGCGAGCGUUAUCCGGAUCUAUUGGGUUUAAAGGGAGCGUAGGUGGGAUAUUAAGUCAGCUGUGAAAGUUUGGGGCUCAACCUUAAAAUUGCAGUUGAUACUGGUUUCCUUGAGUACGGUACAGGUGGGCGGAAUUCGUGGUGUAGCGGUGAAAUGCUUAGAUAUCACGAAGAACUCCGAUCGCGAAGGCAGCUCACCGGGCCGGAACUGACACUGAUGCUCGAAAGUGCGGGUAUCAAACAGGAUUAGAUACCCUGGUAGUCCGCACAGUAAACGAUGAAUACUCGCUGUUUGCGAUACACGGUAAGCGGCCAAGCGAAAGCGUUAAGUAUUCCACCUGGGGAGUACGCCGGCAACGGUGAAACUCAAAGGAAUUGACGGGG